Peromyscus maniculatus bairdii (prairie deer mouse) is the source of this 1323-nucleotide non-coding RNA. Lineage: Eukaryota; Metazoa; Chordata; Mammalia; Rodentia; Cricetidae. The record is from RefSeq and is a predicted model, not a curated record.
UGCCGCCCGGGGAACCGCGCCAACCUCCCGAGCCCGAGAUCUACCGGCCGCCCGGUCAACCGUCGCGGGCCGCGGCCUCGCCAUCUAUUGGUCGACGGCGAAGGUGCCUCUUAGCUCUGAUUGGCUGAGGAGACAUAACACUGCUAAGCAUCUUGGGGAAAAUACGUGUCGCUAGGCAACCGCGUCGGCGUCGGUGUGGGCGUCUGGUUGCUUGAUGGAGCAGGCGCCGCGCAGGAAACCCCGGGGAGCUGGGCUCGCAAAGCUUGUUGGGACUCCAUGAUGCCGUCCUCCGCCGCGGUCGCUGGGGUAACGGAGGUCCAGCGAGCUCUCGGUGCAGAGGCUCCCGCCUUUCGACCUUUCCACUUUGACCCUCACCCUUUCCGGUCUCCUCUGCACCUGAGCCGUGUGUGUUGAGGACUCGAUGACCCUGAGGGACGUGAAGAGUGAGCCAAGAGCUUUGUAUACCUCCAUACACUCCUAGGGAGCAAGGAUCCCUGCUCCAGCCCGGGACGGUGGCGCACGCAGGCGGGUAUCUGUGAUUUCGAGGCCAGCCUGGUCUGCCUAGAAUGCUUCUUAUUAAGGCCUCUGCGGAUAUUUGUAGUGAUCGCUGAAGAAUUCAACCAUCAAACACCCCCAGCUCUGAGGCUGAGCCUGCCUAUCUUGGGGGAGCCAUCCUGGGAGUCUGGAGAGAGGCCCUAGACAGGUAGCAUCUGUUAGCUCAGUUCCCUGAAGGGUCCCCAGAACCUGAGACCCGGCGGGCUCUCCUCCAGGAGCCUCGGUGCACUGACACACACGGCCCACUAGAGAGCGGUGUGCCCCCACAUGAUGAGGAGCGGCAUCCAGCCACCUGCAGAGCCAAGACUGGCACAGGAGGAUGUCAGGUCAGACAUUUUGUGAAUGAAUCUUGUCUUGGGGAUUAGCUAGGGCAGUUUGAAAUCUAGGACUAUAGAAAUGCUUUAAAGUUAUUAGUAAAGAUUUCUACAAAGAAAAAUAAGGGGAGAGUUUCUUUGAAUGUAACAACCAGAAGCUAAAAGAUUAAAGAAAAAAAAAGAUGAUUGAGCCAAAAGUGGUAGUGCAAGAGGUUGAGGAUUCCAAGUUCAAGGCUAGCCUGGACAACAUGAUGAUACACUGUCUCAAAAAUGAAAAGUAGGUGCUCAGCCCACCUGUCCUAGAUAAGUGCAGUGCCUGCCCUCACCAAAGAGGCCUCUACAGCAAAUGGAGACCAUCACAGAACACCACAACCAGACACAAAAGCAGAGAUCAACAGAGCAUGGGGAGGCCAGCCCCAUGGAUACAUCUACAUCACAGCUCCUUCACCUAUGG